This is an RNA transcript of Prionailurus viverrinus (fishing cat), 2449 nucleotides long. It is a transcript of the gene named G1 to S phase transition 2, with no coding region annotated. The record is from RefSeq and is a predicted model, not a curated record. The transcript has 2 exons. NCBI's taxonomy places the organism in Eukaryota, Metazoa, Chordata, Mammalia, Carnivora, Felidae.
GCCGCCAUAUCUGCUGCUGCUGCCGCAGUUGCGAAUGCAGUGUUGGGACUUAGCUGCUGCCGCGCUGCCGCUAAGGUUCGUGUCGCUCCCCCUUGCCCCUUCGCUCUUGCAGCCUUACCCCUGGCGGCGUAGCCCGCUCUUUCUGGCGUGUUAAUCCCACUCCCUCCCCGCCACCCAUCAGGUCCUCAGACCAUGGAUCUGGGCAGCAGCAGCAGCGAUUCCGCGCCCGACUGCUGGGACCAGGUGGACAUGGAAACCCCGGGUUUGGCCCCAAGCGGAGACGGAGCCUCCUCCGCGGUGGCCGAGGACCAACGGGAGCAUCUCAGCUCGGCAUUCAGCCGUCAGCUCAACGUCAACGCCAAACCCUUCGUGCCUAAUGUACACGCCGCGGAGUUCGUGCCGUCCUUUCUGCGGGGCCCGGCCCAGCCGCAGACCCCCCUGGCCGACAUCACCAGCAUCGAUGAAACCUGCACCGGCGCGGGCGACCCUCAAGGUAAAAGGCUGGGACGGGAGGCACCUGUGGAACAUUCCAAAGAGGAACAGUUAGUGUGGCGUGAAGGUUCCAAUUCAGCCAUUACUAUGGAACUUUCAGAACCUGUUGUAGAAAAUGGAGAGGUGGAAAUGGUUCUAGAAGAAUCAUGGGAGCACAAUAAAGAAGUAAGUGAAGCUGAGCCAGGGGGUAGUUCCUUGGGAGAUUCAGGGCCCCCAGAAGAGAGUGGCCAAGAAAUGAUGGAGAAAGAGGAAGUGAGAAAAUCUAAAUCUGUGGUUAUGCCCUCAGGUGCUCCUAAAAAAGAACACGUAAAUGUGGUAUUCAUUGGGCAUGUAGAUGCUGGAAAGUCAACCAUUGGAGGACAAAUUAUGUUUUUGACAGGAAUGGUUGACAAAAGGACACUUGAGAAAUAUGAGAGAGAAGCUAAAGAAAAAAACAGAGAAACUUGGUAUUUGUCCUGGGCCUUAGAUACAAAUCAGGAAGAACGAGACAAGGGUAAAACAGUAGAAGUGGGUCGUGCUUAUUUUGAAACAGAAAAGAAACAUUUCACCAUUUUAGAUGCUCCUGGCCACAAGAGUUUUGUCCCAAAUAUGAUUGGUGGUGCUUCUCAAGCUGAUUUGGCUGUACUGGUAAUCUCUGCCAGGAAAGGAGAAUUUGAAACUGGAUUUGAGAAAGGUGGACAGACAAGAGAACAUGCGAUGUUGGCAAAAACAGCAGGGGUAAAACAUUUAGUAGUGCUUAUCAAUAAGAUGGAUGAUCCCACAGUAAAUUGGAGCAGUGAGAGAUACGAAGAAUGUAAAGAAAAACUGGUGCCCUUUUUGAAAAAAGUCGGCUUUAGUCCCAAAAAGGACAUUCACUUUAUGCCCUGCUCAGGGCUGACUGGGGCAAAUAUUAAAGAGCAAUCAGAUUUUUGCCCUUGGUACACUGGAUUACCAUUUAUUCCAUAUUUGGAUAAUAUGCCAAACUUCAACAGAUCAAUUGAUGGACCAAUUAGACUGCCAAUUGUGGAUAAGUACAAGGAUAUGGGUACUGUGGUCCUGGGAAAGCUGGAAUCAGGAUCCAUUUUUAAAGGCCAGCAGCUUGUGAUGAUGCCGAACAAGCACAAUGUGGAAGUUCUUGGAAUUCUUUCUGAUGAUGCUGAAACUGAUUAUGUAGCCCCAGGUGAAAACCUUAAAAUCAGACUGAAGGGAAUUGAAGAAGAAGAGAUUCUUCCUGGAUUCAUACUUUGUGACCCUAAUAAUCUGUGCCAUUCUGGACGCACAUUUGAUGUUCAGAUAGUGAUUAUUGAGCACAAGUCUAUCAUCUGCCCAGGCUAUAAUGCGGUGCUGCACAUUCAUACUUGUAUUGAGGAAGUUGAGAUAACAGCCUUAAUCUCCUUGGUAGACAAAAAAUCAGGAGAGAAAAGUAAGACACGACCCCGCUUUGUGAAACAAGAUCAAGUGUGCAUUGCCCGUUUAAGGACAGCAGGAACUAUCUGCCUCGAAACAUUCAAGGAUUUUCCUCAGAUGGGUCGUUUUACUUUAAGAGAUGAGGGUAAGACCAUUGCGAUUGGAAAAGUUCUGAAACUGGUCCCAGAGAAGGACUGAGCAGUUUUCUUGAUGCCCCUGCACAAUACUGUGAGAAUUGACUAAAGAAGUUCACCAUCUUCUCUUAUUUACUGCCCACUGACAGACUUUUCUUCAUAUUUUGCAAAGAAAUUUCACAGCAAAAAUUCAUGUUUUGUCACCUUUCUCAUGUUGAGAUUUCAGUUAUGUCACUAUUGAAUUACCCACAACUUUCCUCUUUUGCCAUUUUGCUUCCUUGGACAGAACCAGUAAUAGCUUUGUAGGUGAUGUGGGUGUAAUUGUCUAUAACAAUGAAAAAUUAAUAUAUUUUUUAAUUUUUCAUUUUCCCUUAGGAUAUUUAGUCAACCUUUGUUCCACACAGAUCAAUCAGAGUGUGUCAGUGUGAUUUUUAUUU